UCCGAGUUGACCCCGGCAGUCUCCUAUGAGUCCCCGCCAUCACGCGCUGGCAACAUAGAACGAGGGUUGCGCUCGUUGCGGGACUUGACCCAACAUCUCACGACACGAGCUGACGACAGCCAUGCAGCACCUGUGUGUAGGUCCCGUAAGGGAAGGAAUCCAUCUCUGGAAACCGUCCUACCAUGUCAAACGCUGGUAAGGUUCUGCGCGUUGCUUCGAAUUAAACCACAUGCUCCACCGCCUGUGCAGGCCCCCGUCAAUUCCUUUGAGUUUUAAUCUUGCGACCGUACUCCCCAGGCGGAUAACUUAAUGCGUUAGCUGCGCCACCCAGGCACCAUGUGCCCGGACAGCUAGUUAUCAUCGUUUACGGCGUGGACUAC
This 380-nucleotide unclassified non-coding RNA is filed under the name uncultured Sphingomonadaceae bacterium. RNAcentral's name for it is "contains 16S-23S intergenic spacer region". The record is from RNAcentral. Lineage: Bacteria; Pseudomonadati; Pseudomonadota; Alphaproteobacteria; Sphingomonadales; Sphingomonadaceae.